GGAUAGCCUUCCGAAAGGGAGAUUAAUACCGCAUAAUAUCAUUAGAUGGCAUCAUUUAGUGAUCAAAGGAUUUAUUCGCUAUGAGAUGGACCCGCGUCGCAUUAGCUAGUUGGUAAGGUAAUGGCUUACCAAGGCGACGAUGCGUAGCCGACCUGAGAGGGUGAUCGGCCACAUUGGGACUGAGACACGGCCCAGACUCCUACGGGAGGCAGCAGUGGGGAAUAUUGCACAAUGGGGGAAACCCUGAUGCAGCAACGCCGCGUGAGUGAUGACGGUCUUCGGAUUGUAAAGCUCUGUCUUUGGGGACGAUAAUGACGGUACCCAAGGAGGAAGCCACGGCUAACUACGUGCCAGCAGCCGCGGUAAUACGUAGGUGGCGAGCGUUAUCCGGAAUUAUUGGGCGUAAAGGGAGCGUAGGCGGAUAAUUAAGUGGGAUGUGAAAUACUUAGGCUCAACCUGGGGGCUGCAUUCCAAACUGAUUAU
RNAcentral lists this ribosomal RNA (483 nucleotides) under uncultured bacterium. RNAcentral describes it as "bacterial SSU rRNA". It matches the Rfam family "Bacterial small subunit ribosomal RNA", at positions 141 to 640 of the family's 1533-position model. The record is from RNAcentral.